Cavia porcellus (domestic guinea pig) is the source of this 1968-nucleotide long non-coding RNA. RefSeq lists it as uncharacterized. The transcript has 2 exons. The record is from RefSeq and is a predicted model, not a curated record. NCBI's taxonomy places the organism in Eukaryota, Metazoa, Chordata, Mammalia, Rodentia, Caviidae.
CUUUGGUCGGGAGGGGAUGGAAACAGAAAUAGAGAAGUGGGGAGGAUUUCUGAGUCAGGCCGUGUGACUCCUCCUAGCGGGGAAUUGGAAGUGCUUUGUGGUUGUGAGCGUGUGUGUGAGGGUGAGGAUAGGAGCUAGGUAGUAGCGUCUCAAUGCCGAAACUCCUGGUAGGGGAAUAUAUAUCCCAGUUACACUGCUUUUUAUCUCCUAAGUAAAACCCAGAUAACGCCAAGGUGAGAGCCAUAGGACCAGAAGUGAGAGCAAGCCUCCAAGGGAAACUCUUCUACAAAUGUCCAGCAGCUCAUGUCCAUAUGUCUUUCUGGAACUCUUGCCAGACAUAGUCACAGGAUCAAAAUUAUUUCUUCAUGGUCAUUAUGCAGUGUCACAUCUCGCAGAGCCAAAGGAAUAAAUUCCAGACAUGCAGAACACGCGUCUCUCCAGCCUCUCUCAGCCAGGCUGUCAACUCUGCAGCACUGAUGCACAAAUCAAAAAGGGCAGGCAGAGGCUGAGGACUGCUUCUGUUGGUCUGUUCCUUAUCCUUCGCCUUCCUGAUGCAGGGGAGUGAAAGACCCUCAGCCACGCCCUGGCCCUCCACACUGAAUUCCUCACUAUGAUAUUCCCAGGGUAGGAAAAAAAUAUGGGCAUGGGAGGGAGCAAGAGAUGGAGGAGAGUUUGCCAGACAAAGAGAAGGAAAUUAUAUAUUCAAGAGCUAUUUAGUCAAGGACUGAACAUAAAAAAUUGACGAGUGUUUCCUGUCUCUUAACUGGUCAAAAAACACACUCCAAACCCAUCCUCCUGUCUCCUCAAUGUUUCUCUCUCUCUCUCUCUCUCUCUCUCUCUCUUCCUCCCUCUUGGUUUCUUCUCCACAGCUGAAUGCUUCCGAGUGUUUUUCCUCUUAGAAACAGUAUGAUUUCUGUCAAACCACAGUUUAAAUUUUUCAGAGAAGCUCUAGAGCUUUCAUUUCUGUAACCAAGAUCAACAAUCUGUCAUGUACAGUGGCAUUUCCAACUGACAGCUGGAAAUCUCCACCUGGAUGCCCUGCCAACACCUUGAAAUUAUCACGUCCAGAAACGCAGCAUCUUUCCUUUGGAAUGGAAUGUUCCUUUCCCAGACUUUUUUCCUGUUCCUUAUAAACCACUCUCGUUACUCCAGUUGCAGAUGUUGAAACUUUUACCUGAUUGUGGCCUCUUCUGUACUGUCGUGUGGGUUGGGUGAUCACCAGGUCUCUAGCACAGGUGACUAAGGGGAGAAGGUGAUGCCUCCAUUGAGACCUGAGUGGGUGUGCAGGGGAGAACAAGGGGGUGCUUUUGGACACCCUCAGGAUGGUCUGAGACGACAGUGAGAUGUCUUACUGGAUAUGUGCAGGGUUAGAAGAAAAUAUUAGAGCAAAAACCAGGAUUCCUAUACAGCAAAUAUAAGCCUGGAACUCAUCAGAGGACAAGCGGUGGUUAAAAUCAUGAGAGCAAUGGAGUUAUCAGGAGAGGGGAGAGGUACAAAAUACGAUUAGAAUUUUUUUAUUAGGUAUUUACUUACUUUGCCCUGAGAACAAAUAUGAGAUUUCUGGAUCAGAGGCAGAGCUACCAGAAUGACAUGGGUUCUCCAGGUUCCAUUUUCCAUUUCAGGGUGAUGUGGUGAAAGCCAGAUGUCACUCUGCCUGCACCAGGGGCUUUUGCAUGACAGAAAAGGAACUUCAAAAUCCGGGAUCUGGCAUCUGGCCACGAAAAUCUUCAUAUAUGUUUUCCUACAGACGUUUUAUAGUUUUCUGUUUUACAGGUUAAUGUAUAAUACAUGUUGAGUUAACUUUUGUGUACAGUAUGAGGUAUUGAUCAGAGUUCUUACAACUUAGCACAUACUCAAUUGUUCCAGCACCAUUUGAAGAAAAAGACUAUCCUGUUUCCAUUGAAUUGCCUGUGUACCAUAGUAAAAACAAAAAUAAAACAGUUGUUUGUGUAUGUGUGGAUCUAUUUA